CAUGCAAGUCGAACGGAGCUGAGAGGAGCUUGCUUUUCUCAGCUUAGUGGCGAACGGGUGAGUAACGCGUGAGUAACCUGCCCUGGAGUGGGGGACAACAGUUGGAAACGACUGCUAAUACCGCAUAAGCCCACGAUCCGGCAUCGGAUUGAGGGAAAAGGAUUUAUUCGCUUCAGGAUGGACUCGCGUCCAAUUAGCUAGUUGGUGAGGUAACGGCCCACCAAGGCGACGAUUGGUAGCCGGACUGAGAGGUUGAACGGCCACAUUGGGACUGAGACACGGCCCAGACUCCUACGGGAGGCAGCAGUGGGGGAUAUUGCACAAUGGGGGAAACCCUGAUGCAGCGACGCCGCGUGGAGGAAGAAGGUUUUCGGAUUGUAAACUCCUGUCGUUAGGGGCGAUAAUGACGGUACCUAACAAGAAAGCACCGGCUAACUACGUGCCAGCAGCCGCGGUAAAACGUAGGGUGCAAGCGUUGUCCGGAAUUACUGGGUGUAAAGGGAGCGCAGGCGGACCGGCAAGUUGGAAGUGAAAACUAUGGGCUCAACCCAUAAAUUGCUUUCAAAACUGCUGGCCUUGAGUAGUGCAGAGGUAGGUGGAAUUCCCGGUGUAGCGGUGGAAUGCGUAGAUAUCGGGAGGAACACCAGUGGCGAAGGCGACCUACUGGGCACCAACUGACGCUGAGGCUCGAAAGCAUGGGUAGCAAACAGGAUUAGAUACCCUGG
RNAcentral lists this ribosomal RNA (725 nucleotides) under uncultured bacterium. RNAcentral's name for it is "bacterial SSU rRNA". It matches the Rfam family "Bacterial small subunit ribosomal RNA", at positions 54 to 790 of the family's 1533-position model. The record is from RNAcentral.